This 484-nucleotide ribosomal RNA is filed under the name uncultured bacterium. RNAcentral describes it as "partial 16S ribosomal RNA". It matches the Rfam family "Bacterial small subunit ribosomal RNA", at positions 29 to 507 of the family's 1533-position model. The record is from RNAcentral.
AUUGAACGCUAGCGGGAUGCUUUACACAUGCAAGUCGAACGGCAGCGCGGACUUCGGUCUGGCGGCGAGUGGCGAACGGGUGAGUAAUGUAUCGGAACGUGCCCAGUAGCGGGGGAUAACUACGCGAAAGCGUAGCUAAUACCGCAUACGCCCUACGGGGGAAAGCAGGGGAUCGUAAGACCUUGCACUAUUGGAGCGGCCGAUAUCGGAUUAGCUAGUUGGUGAGGUAACGGCUCACCAAGGCGACGAUCCGUAGCUGGUUUGAGAGGACGACCAGCCACACUGGGACGGAGACACGGCCCAGACUCCUACGGGAGGCAGCAGUGGGGAAUUUGGGGCAAUGGGGGCAACCCUGAUCCAGCCAGCCCGCGUGUGCGAUGAAGGCCUUCGGGUUGUAAAGCACUUUUGGCAGGAAAGAAACGUCGCGGGCUAAUACCCCGUGGAACUGACGGUACCUGCAGAAUAAGCACCGGCUAACUACGUG